UUGGGGUUGCGGACAUAUCAUAACGAAGAGGUAUCGUAAUUGAAGAGGUUUGGAAAGACCCACCACAGAAGGUAAUAGUCCUGUAUGUUAAACGAGAAGACUUUAGAUAUGAUCCAGAGUACCACGGGACACGUGAAACCCUGUGGGAAGCAGGAGGGACCACCCUCCAAGGCUAAAUACUACCUAGUGACCGAUAGCGUAUAGUACCGUGAGGGAAAGGUGAAAAGAACCCCGGGAGGGGAGUGAAAUAGAACCUGAAACCCUGCACUUACAAGCUGUGGAAGCACAUUUCUUGUGUGACCGCGUACUUUUUGUAGAACGGGCCAACGAGUUACGUUAAGUAGCAAGGUUAAGCACUUAAGGUGUGGAGCCGUAGCGAAAGCGAGUUUUAACUGAGCGUUCAGUUAAUGGACGUAGACCCGAAACCGGGCGACCGACCAAUGGGCAGGAUGAAGAGAAAGUAAAAUUUCGUGGAGGUCCGAACCCACGGGCGUUGAAAAGCUCGGGGAUGACUUGUGGGUAGCGGUGAAAUUCCAAUCGAGCCCGGAGAUAGCUGGUUCUCCCCGAAAUAGCUUUAGGGCUAGCCUCAAGGUGAGAGAUACGGAGGUAGAGCACUGAAUGUCCUAGGGGGUAUUGCACCUACCGAAGACUAUCAAACUCCGAAUGCCGUCAUCUUAUACUUGGGAGUCAGACUGUGGGUGAUAAGAUUCAUAGUCGAAAGGGCAACAGCCCAGAUCGUCAGCUAAGGUCCCUAAAUGUAAGUUAAGUGGUAAAGGAUGUGGGAUUGCACAGACAACCAGGAUGUUGGCUUAGAAGCAGCCACUCAUUCAAAGAGUGCGUAAUAGCUCACUGGUCGAGUGAUCCUGCGCCGAAGAUUUCCGGGGCUAAAACUUACUACCGAAGCUACGGCAUCAGUAAUGA
This 921-nucleotide ribosomal RNA is filed under the name Clostridioides difficile. RNAcentral's name for it is "bacterial LSU rRNA". It matches the Rfam family "Bacterial large subunit ribosomal RNA", at positions 292 to 1217 of the family's 2925-position model. Lineage: Bacteria; Bacillati; Bacillota; Clostridia; Peptostreptococcales; Peptostreptococcaceae. The record is from RNAcentral.